GGCAGAUCAAGAGCAUCUCAUCCUCCGGCUGCUGAGUCAUCCUGCUCUGGCAGUUAUUUAAACAGAAGGCUCCAGGAGACAUACAAUCAACACUCCACUCAGACAAUGCCCAGACCUCCAGAAACCAUGUGUCAAGCUCGGAUUGCCUUAGACAGAAGCUCACCCAGCUGGAACUCUUAUGGGACCUUGGCACCAGAGACCACAAAUUCCUCUUUGAAGUUUUCUAACAGCAACAAUGGUAUUUCUGACUUGGCUUUCUUGUAUUUCUCUCACGUUAACAAAAUUGGUUCAGCAUCUACCAUGGGCUACAUGCUGAGCUACAGAGUUUCGCUCUGUCGCCCAGGCUGGAGUGCAGUGGCGCGCGAUCUCGGUUCACUGCAAGCUCCACCUCCCGGGUUCACGCCAUUCUCCUGCCUCAGCCUCCUGAGUAGCUGGGACUACAGGCGCCCGCCACCACACCCAGGAACAAAACCCAUCAGAAGAUGUCAGAAGAUAAGGAUUUUUGUCCUGAUGCUACACUUACCAGCUGUCCCUCAGUGUUCUACUUCUUAAAAAAAGAGAGAUGGAUAAACAGAGGCAACCCGAGGAUAAAGGCCUUGCUCAGUGUCACACAUUUCAGUCACUAAAUAAGACACAAUGGAUGCCAGUAUUCUCAUCCCCUCACAAAUAAAGAGCCUUCAAGCUCUUGCAGUCAACAAGAACUUUUGGAAUGAUUUCACUGCCUGAAAAGGCAGAUACAUAGGUGACACCCACAAAUAGGAAGAAAAUCAACCUGAACCUGAGUGUGUGGGCUCACUGACUCUAAGCAGUAGAGACAGAAGAAAAAGUUUUAGCAAAGAAGGGUUCUGAAAGAAAAUAAAUAUAGCUCGUUAUCAAGUGCUGUUUUUACACAGUAAAACAUGGGCAAAAUUACUCUUCUUUAAGUAGUAAUUCUUAUCUCUUGAUUAAGUCACCUACUCAUUCAUUUAAUAAAUACAUACUGAUUGUUUUCUAUGUGUUGAGCACUCAUCUCUGUAUUGGAAAUAUAAUAAUGACCAAAGUUGACAAUAGUAAUAACAAUAAUAGCUAAUAUAGCAGGCACUAAUAAUUAUUUGUUGAGUAAUAUGUCAAAAUUCAGUGUGAACAGCAUUCUAUUUGGGGCUGCAUCCACUGACUAUAACACAGCUAAUCUAUCUGAAAUGUUCCAGCUUUGGGCCUCUCUAACAGAAGAAGCUGUUGUUGGGCCUGCCUCUAGUUGGCGAUGCAUCCACCAAUGAGAAUGAAUUUAUGAUCGACCACUCUUCCUGUAAAGGCCGCUGGAACUGACAGCAUUGUGAUUUUCUUUUACUGUUAGUUUUAAAUUACUAGAACCAACUCAAUUACUAGAACGAACUUUACUUCUUUGUUUCCUACUUAUCAAAACAGUAAAAACAACAAGUAAAAGAAAUGCCAUCUUAAUAUUGUUUUGAUGACAAAACAGUAUUCCUUUUAGUUGUGCUUCAAAUGGAAUAAGAUGCAAACAGGCUUGGUAUGGUGGCUCACCCCUGUAAUCCCAGCCCUUUGGGAGGCCAAGGUGGAAGGAUUGCUUGAGGCCAUGAGUUUGAGACCAGCCUGCGCAACAUAGCAAGACCGUGUCUCUACAAAAAAUAAAAAAUUAGCUGAGUGUAGUGGUGUGUGCUUGUGGUCCCAGCUACUUUUGAGGCUGAGGAGGGAGAAUCUCUUGAGCCCAGAAGGUCGAAGUUGCAGUGAGCCGUGAUCGUGCCAUUGCUCUCCAGCUUGGACAACAAAGCAAGACCCUAUGUCAAAAAAUAAAUAAAUAAAAGACAUAAACAUAUCUGAGAUUAACUUUCAGUGGUAAAUUUGUUCCAUAUAUGAUUUUUAAGGUUAAAUGCUUUGGAAGCUUUAAAAACCAUUUCAGCCCUUUUAAAUGCCAACUUACACUGAUGAUGCUCUCAGAUGUUAGGAAAUCUUUUGAGCAGAAAAUGGAAGUGGGGGUGUUGAGGCAGGGAGGAGAGUGAUGCAAUAUUCCUUAGUGUCAUCCUGUGAUUUCACAAUUUGUUUUUCAAUCUGUUUGGACUUUCAAAAGGGAAGACUCUCAUAUGUCAACAAGCCCAUGAACUGAAGCUUAAAACACUGGAAACAACAACUGUAGAGUUUCAAGUAUAUGUACAUUUAUGUAUUCAUGUUCCUUGAUGGGAAUGCUGGCUGGUGUGAAUGUUCAAUCUCCUGAGAAAUGUAAAUUUUUCUCUGACAGAUUUAUUAGCUUGCUGUAUCUGAGCACAUGAGCAAAAACAAUGCCUAAUAAGAAAACUUUCUCUCUCCUUCAAAGUCAAACUUGGGAGAAAUGAAGGGAAAUCGAGUUUUCUUUGCUUGACAGUGUUCAACAUUCUUGUAGUCAGUGUGCUCAUGAAGAUUGCAAACUUUUUUUUUUUUUUAGAGCAGCUAGGACUACAGGCGCGCACCACCACACCCAGCUAAUUUGUGUAUUUUUAGUAGAGAUGGGGUUUUAACUAUGUUGGCCAAGCUUGUCUCAAACUCCUGACCUCAAGUGAUCCAUUCGACAGCUCUUUCUUUUUUUUUUUUUUUUUUGAGACAAAGUCUCGCUCUGUCACCCAGGCUGGAGUGCAGUGGUAUGAUCUCAGCUCACUGCAACCUCCGCCUCCUGGGUUCAAGCAAUUCUCAUGCCUUAGCCUCCCGAAU
RNAcentral lists this long non-coding RNA (2679 nucleotides) under Homo sapiens (human). Its description in RNAcentral is "HSALNT0091280". The record is from RNAcentral. Lineage: Eukaryota; Metazoa; Chordata; Mammalia; Primates; Hominidae.